UAGAAGGUGGUGUAUUGGGAGCACAUAGAGUUUUGAUCUCUAUAGGAUGGGUUCGAAUCCCCUCUUUCUAA
Molecule: transfer RNA, 71 nt
Filed under: Sirembo imberbis (golden cusk)
Lineage: Eukaryota; Metazoa; Chordata; Actinopteri; Ophidiiformes; Ophidiidae
Description: tRNA-Gln
Rfam family: tRNA
About the family: Transfer RNA (tRNA) molecules are approximately 80 nucleotides in length. Their secondary structure includes four short double-helical elements and three loops (D, anti-codon, and T loops). Further hydrogen bonds mediate the characteristic L-shaped molecular structure. tRNAs have two regions of fundamental functional importance: the anti-codon, which is responsible for specific mRNA codon recognition, and the 3' end, to which the tRNAs corresponding amino acid is attached (by aminoacyl-tRNA synthetases). tRNAs cope with the degeneracy of the genetic code in two manners: having more than one tRNA (with a specific anti-codon) for a particular amino acid; and 'wobble' base-pairing, i.e. permitting non-standard base-pairing at the 3rd anti-codon position.
Source: RNAcentral